AACGAACGCUGGCGGCGUGGUUUAGGCAUGCAAGUCGGACGAUCUUAGGAUAGUGGCAAAAGGGUGAGUAACACGUGGGUAAUCUAUCCUUAAGUUGGGAACAACACUUCGAAAGAGGUGCUAAUACCGAAUAAGACCCCAGAGAUGUAUAUCUCAGAGGUUAAAGCUGAGGACCCAGCACUAAUUUUCGCAAGAAAAUUAGUGCUGGGCUUGGCGCUAGAGGAUGAGCCCGCGUCCUAUCAGCUUGUUGGUGAGGUAAUGGCUCACCAAGGCGACGAUCCGUAGCUGGUCUGAGAGGACGAUCAGCCACACUGGGACUGAGACACGGCCCAGACUCCUACGGGAGGCAGCAGUGGGGAAUAUUGGACAAUGGGGGCAACCCUGAUCCAGCAAUGCCGCGUGUGUGAAGAAGGCCUGCGGGUUGUAAAGCACUUUCAGUAGAGAAGAAAUGCCCGGGCUUAAUACCCCCGGUCUUGACGUAACCUACAGAAGAAGCACCGCUAACU
This 506-nucleotide ribosomal RNA is filed under the name uncultured bacterium. RNAcentral describes it as "partial 16S rRNA". It matches the Rfam family "Bacterial small subunit ribosomal RNA", at positions 29 to 502 of the family's 1533-position model. The record is from RNAcentral.